UUUCCGUUGGUGAACCAGCGGAAGGAUCAUUACUGAGAUCAUGCCCUUAACGGGGUAGACCUCCCACCCUGUGUUAUUACGAUUGUUGCUUUGGCAGGCCGCCCUCGGGCGCUCGGCUUCGGCUGAGGCGUGCCUGCCAGAAGACCCAAACCCUGUAUUUAGUGUUGUCCGAGUACUAUUUUAAUACGUUAAAACUUUCAACAACGGAUCUCUUGGUUCUGGCAUCGAUGAGGAACGCAGC
This 241-nucleotide unclassified non-coding RNA is filed under the name plant metagenome. RNAcentral's name for it is "partial contains small subunit ribosomal RNA, internal transcribed spacer 1, and 5.8S ribosomal RNA". The stretch from base 193 to 241 matches the Rfam family "5.8S ribosomal RNA", at positions 1 to 49 of the family's 154-position model. The record is from RNAcentral.